UGGGGGAUAUUGCACAAUGGGCGAAAGCCUGAUGCAGCGACGCCGCGUGGGGGAUGAAGGCUUUCGGGUUGUAAACCUCUUUCGCUAUCGAACAAGGCCCGCUUAGGGUGGGUUGAGGGUAGGUGGAGAAGAAGCGCCGGCUAACUACGUGCCAGCAGCCGCGGUAAUACGUAGGGCGCGAGCGUUGUCCGGAAUUAUUGGGCGUAAAGGGCUUGUAGGCGGCUUGUUGCGCCUGCUGUGAAAACGCGGGGCUUAACUUCGCGCGUGCAGUGGGUACGGGCAGGCUUGAGUGUGGUAGGGGUGACUGGAAUUCCAGGUGUAGCGGUGGAAUGCGCAGAUAUCUGGAGGAACACCGAUGGCGAAGGCAGGUCACUGGGCCAUUACUGACGCUGAGGAGCGAAAGCACGGGUAGCGAACAGG
Molecule: ribosomal RNA, 420 nt
Filed under: bacterium
Lineage: Bacteria
Description: partial 16S ribosomal RNA
Rfam family: Bacterial small subunit ribosomal RNA
Source: RNAcentral